Small nuclear RNA from Mesocricetus auratus (golden hamster), 167 nucleotides. Its record names the gene U1. It matches the Rfam family "U1 spliceosomal RNA". From Rfam's summary of the family: U1 is a small nuclear RNA (snRNA) component of the spliceosome (involved in pre-mRNA splicing). Its 5' end forms complementary base pairs with the 5' splice junction, thus defining the 5' donor site of an intron. There are significant differences in sequence and secondary structure between metazoan and yeast U1 snRNAs, the latter being much longer (568 nucleotides as compared to 164 nucleotides in human). The record is from Ensembl. Lineage: Eukaryota; Metazoa; Chordata; Mammalia; Rodentia; Cricetidae.
AUACUUAUCUGGCAGCGGUGAUACCGUGGUCAUGGAGGUGGUUUUCCCAGUGCAAGGCUUAUCAUUCAUUGCACUUCAGAAAUACUGACCGCUGCAAUUUCUCCAAAUGCAGGAAAUUCAACUGCAUAAUUUGUGGUAGUGGGGAACUGUGCUUGUGCUCUCCCCUG